Molecule: ribosomal RNA, 464 nt
Filed under: uncultured bacterium
Lineage: Bacteria
Description: partial 16S ribosomal RNA
Rfam family: Bacterial small subunit ribosomal RNA
Source: RNAcentral
CCUACGGGGGGCAGCAGUGGGGAAUAUUGCGCAAUGGGCGAAAGCCUGACGCAGCGACGCCGCGUGGGGGAUGAAGCUCUUCGGAUCGUAAACCUCUGUCAGCAGGGAAGAACGGUCACUGUGCUAAUCAGCAGUGCAUUGACGGUACCUGCAAAGGAAGCACCGGCUAACUCCGUGCCAGCAGCCGCGGUAAUCCGGGGGAUGCGAUCGUUAUCCGGAUUUAUUGGGGUUAAAGGGUGCGUAGGCGGGUUUUUAAGUUAGUGGUUAAACGUCGGGGCUUCACCUUGAUUUGCCAUUAAUACUGUAAGACGCGAGUUCAGACGAGGUAGGCGGAAUAAGUGAAGUAGCGGUGAAAUGCUUAGAUAUAACGUAGAACUCCGAUAGCGAAGGCAGCUUACCAGACUGCGACUGACGCUGAAGCACGAGAGCGUGGGUAGCGAACAGGAUUAGAUACCCGUGUAGUC